Molecule: ribosomal RNA, 63 nt
Filed under: Caulerpa serrulata
Lineage: Eukaryota; Viridiplantae; Chlorophyta; Ulvophyceae; Bryopsidales; Caulerpaceae
Description: partial 28S ribosomal RNA
Source: RNAcentral
GCGACGAACCCCGCUGAACUUAAUCAUAUCACUAAGCAGAAGAAAAGAAACCGAUUUGGAUGC